GCACUUCAGGCUGCCUGUAGUAUUUACAUGAUUUACAUAUCUGAGGAAGUGAAACCUGACAUUAAGCAGCAGAACUGAAGCYGGCAGUGGUCACUGUUAAGAUAUGAAAACAAAAACAGAAAUUCAGGCCCAGCUGGAAGAACAAAAAUUGGCACCUCCAAGCCUCAGAGCUGCUGAGGAGACAUUGGUGUUCAGGAAAUGGCUGGAGUUUUGGGAGAGCAAGCGUACGUAUUCUCGAGCCCUAUUCCUACUCCACACUUCUCUGCAGUCAGAACAGGGUCCAUCACUAGAAAGUGAUGUUUCAGGGAUGCGUUCCAAUAUCUUUCUGGCUUUUAGUCACCCUGCUGAGUAA
This 352-nucleotide long non-coding RNA is filed under the name Dromaius novaehollandiae (emu). RNAcentral describes it as "lncRNA (ENSDNVG00000008402.1)". Lineage: Eukaryota; Metazoa; Chordata; Aves; Casuariiformes; Dromaiidae. The record is from RNAcentral.